RNAcentral lists this ribosomal RNA (439 nucleotides) under uncultured Phycisphaerales bacterium. Its description in RNAcentral is "bacterial SSU rRNA". It matches the Rfam family "Bacterial small subunit ribosomal RNA", at positions 30 to 505 of the family's 1533-position model. Lineage: Bacteria; Pseudomonadati; Planctomycetota; Phycisphaerae; Phycisphaerales. The record is from RNAcentral.
CCUGAACGCUGGCGGCAUGGCUAAAACAUGCAAGUCGAGGGAGAAGCACCUUCGGGUGUGGACACCGGCGAAAGGGCGAGUAACGCGAUCGUACGUACCCUUCAGUAGAGGAUAGCGUCGUGAAAACGGCGGUAAUACUCUAUACGCUCUACGGAGGAAAGAAUUUCGCUGAAGGAGCGGCGAUCGUCCUAUCAGGUAGUUGGUGAGGUAAAGGCUCACCAAGCCAAAGACGGGUAGCGGGUGUGAGAGCAUGACCCGCCGCAUCGGGACUGAGACACUGCCCGGACUCCUACGGGAGGCUGCAGUAACGAAUCUUCCGCAAUGCGCGAAAGCGUGACGGAGCAAUGCCGCGUGUGGGAUGAAGCGGUUACGCCGUGUAAACCACUGUCAGGGUCGAGGAAGAACUGACCAGACCCAGAGGAAGGACCGGCUAAUCUCG